This 274-nucleotide ribosomal RNA is filed under the name uncultured bacterium. Its description in RNAcentral is "partial 16S ribosomal RNA". It matches the Rfam family "Archaeal small subunit ribosomal RNA", at positions 473 to 747 of the family's 1478-position model. The record is from RNAcentral.
AAACCAGCACCUCAAGUGGUCAGGAGGAUUAUUGGGCCUAAAGCAUCCGUAGCCUGUUCUAUAAGUUUCCGGUUAAAUCCAUUAGCUCAACUAAUGGGCUGCCGAAAAUACUGUAGAACUAGGGAGUGGGAGAGGUAGACGGUAUUCGGUAGGAAGGGGUAAAAUCCUUUGAUCUAUUGAGGACCACCUGUGGCGAAGGCGGUCUACCAGAACACGUUCGACGGUGAGGGAUGAAAGCUGGGGGAGCAAACCGGAUUAGAAACCCCGGUAGUCC